AAAAAGAUCAGCCUUCUCUUCCCAGUUCUUCCUGGAGUCAGGAAAAGCUGGGUUGAGAGGGCAGGAAAAAAAAAAA
RNAcentral lists this microRNA precursor (76 nucleotides) under Callithrix jacchus (white-tufted-ear marmoset). Its description in RNAcentral is "mir-320 microRNA precursor family". It matches the Rfam family "mir-320 microRNA precursor family". Lineage: Eukaryota; Metazoa; Chordata; Mammalia; Primates; Cebidae. The record is from Rfam by way of RNAcentral.